Long non-coding RNA from Neofelis nebulosa (Clouded leopard), 1638 nucleotides. RefSeq lists it as uncharacterized. The record is from RefSeq and is a predicted model, not a curated record. NCBI's taxonomy places the organism in Eukaryota, Metazoa, Chordata, Mammalia, Carnivora, Felidae. The transcript is spliced from 3 exons.
GGGGCAUGGGAAGGAGUCUUGGGUCAGGGAAGGGUUCACAGAGGAACUGGCAGUUUUAAGAAUGACUAGGUCUCUGCCAGGUGGAGGAGGCAUGGGGAGUAAGGGCAAAGCUGGAGGAGGUGCAGGUCACAGAAAAGGAUGCGUGCAAAGUACGAAGCCUUGAAAUAUUACGAUGUGUUGAGCAACUACAGGAUUUCAGUAUUGCUGGUUGGAGCACAAGGGGAGAAGAGGGACAUGAGGCUGGAGAAUCAGGCAGCUGGAUCUUUGGGCACCUGGGGUGCUGUGUGAAUGUCCAGGAUUUGGGGAGCCAUUGAAGGCCAGCGUCUGAUGGGAGUAAGUUCUCUCUGGCUCCAGAGUGGACAGCUGAUGGACAGGGGGCUGUCUGGAGACAGGGGAUCCUCCAGGAAGCCAUUCCAUUAAUCCUGCCCAGAGAUGGGGAAUCCUGAUCCUGGGUGGCAGUGGGGGAAACAGAAGGGAGGUGGGGUCCAGAGGUGUGAAAUGAUGGAACAGGACAAUUUUCCACCCCACAUCCUGAAAGACCGGGGAGAUCAUGGUGUAGGCUCAGCUAAAGGAGGCGGAAAUGACAAAAGUGGAAGGCCCUCACUCUGUGGAAAGCAAGGAGGAACGUGUUAAGAUAUAAAACAGCUUCUAGGUGGCUAAGGGGUAAAACAUCAGGACAAGGCAGCCAAAGGGAACUGGAGAGGAGAGGAGACACUGCCUGAACUGUUCCUUGCCCAUGGGGACAGGAGGUAUUCCCACAGAACCCUCCUCACUGUGCCCAAGAGUCACCCGGCAGAGCCCCUUGUGGCCACAUCCUGGUAAUGCAGACUGCUGCUUGAAAGAGAAGAGCCAGGACUGAGGCUGAGUGGCAGUCACGCCUUCCCUUUGUCACACCACAGUUAGCAUAACACCAAUCCCAGAGGUGUGAGCUGGGAGGGAGGGGUCUGAGUCAAGAGGAUGCACCUCAUCCAGGCUGCAGGGCUCCAAGCCUCUGGCAGAAUGUGGAGUGACCACAAGACAGGUGCCCUGGGAGGUUGGGGGUUCUGACUCAAGGGGGACAGAGUGACCAUCAAGAAAAGAGGAAUUUGGACAAGGCUUACCUGGGAGCACAGGCUUCUGCUGCUCAUGGUAUCGAGUGAGGUGGUUCAGUAGUCUGGUCCGGAAAGUCAAGGAGAGCUCCAUCCCUGUGUCCGGUGCCUUGAAGAAAAUGGCCAUAAGCAAGCUUCAUGCCCAGCACAGAGCCCAACAUGGGGCUUGAACUCACAACCCUGAGAUCAAGACCUGAGCCGAGAUCAAGAGCAGGACGCUUCACGGCCUGAGCCACCCAAGUGCAACUGGAGGUCAUGCGGAUGACCAGAAGUUGUGCCUCAAUAUAACAGAACCAAGACCACUUGCUUCUCUCUGUCUAGCCAAUUCAACCAGAUGUAAUUGGUGCCCCUACGGAGCCUCUGCUCCCAUCACUACCCUCUCUUGGUGGCCCGUCAGAGAAGACCCUGGCGGAGAAGCAGCUCCCGUACCUUCUCAUGUACCAUCAAUAAAGUAUACUGUACCCAACAAGAACGACAGCAACAGUUGACUAACCACACGGCUCCCCAGCCCAGCUUCCUCGCCGAUACUGUUCCUUUCCAAUGUCUGCUG